UACAGAGGGUGCUAGCGUUAUUCGGAAUUACUGGGCGUAAAGCGCACGUAGGCGGCUUGAUAAGUCUGAUGUGAAAUCCCUGGGCUCAACCCAGGACGGUCAUUAGAUACUAUCUCGCUUGAGUACAGGAGGGGAGAGUGGAAUUCCAGGUGUAGAGGUGAAAUUCGUAGAUAUCUGGAGGAACAACAGUGGCGAAGGCGACUCUCUGGACUGUAUCGAAAGAUUUAAAACUGACGCUGAGGUGCGAAAGCG
RNAcentral lists this ribosomal RNA (252 nucleotides) under uncultured bacterium. Its description in RNAcentral is "partial 16S ribosomal RNA". It matches the Rfam family "Bacterial small subunit ribosomal RNA", at positions 524 to 761 of the family's 1533-position model. The record is from RNAcentral.